RNAcentral lists this long non-coding RNA (389 nucleotides) under Gossypium raimondii (Peruvian cotton). RNAcentral describes it as "long non-coding RNA (GRAI_LNC009628)". Lineage: Eukaryota; Viridiplantae; Streptophyta; Magnoliopsida; Malvales; Malvaceae. The record is from RNAcentral.
UCUUUCAGAUAGUAAUAAGAACGACGAAACUCAUGAAGAUGGAUAAUUUGGAAACGGCGUUUGAAGAAGAUGGGAUCGGAGAUAUUAGCGUUCCUAUUCAUGCUUGGAAUAAAAAUCACGGUUCAAAAUCGAUGAACAUGGAUUUCUACUCAUGGAGUUCCUAUUCAUGCUUGGAAUACGCGUACAUUUCAAAAAAUUGCUGAGAAUUGGGGAACUUUCGUUAAUGUUGACAAAGAUACUCUGCCAGCGGACUGCUUUGUUGGUGCUAAUGCUCAGAUUAUUACGAGCCACAGUGGAAAAAUUGAACAUUCUUGUAAAUGGACAUGGUUUAUUCUAUUCCAACAUCAGAAAUAGAUUUGGCAUUAUAGCCUAAGUUGAUUAUUUCUAAU